GGGAGUGCAAGCUUUGACAGUUGUUCUUUUAAAAAUAAUGCAAAUCGAGUAUUCUAAAACCUCGCAAAACUUUUAGAAAACCAAUAGUUGCCAAUAUUUUCAACAAGCAACCAGCAUUAGCAUACGCUUAAUGCCAUCUUUCCCAUCAACUCCUGAUAGAUGGAGUAAAGGUGUUAUAUUAUCAGGAUAGACAGCUUCUUGCCUUCGGAAGUUUGUUAAAAUUAAACGUUGGCUAAGGUGUUAAUAAUUUUGUUUAUUUCUUAAUUAAUACUCCAACAACAAAAUAAACUAAAUUUGUAGAUUUAUUUUUAAAUAACUUCUGGACGCGAUUUCAAUAUCGCCACUUCCACCA
This 352-nucleotide transfer-messenger RNA is filed under the name Candidatus Staskawiczbacteria bacterium RIFOXYA2_FULL_32_7. It matches the Rfam family "transfer-messenger RNA". From Rfam's summary of the family: Bacterial tmRNA, also known as 10Sa RNA or SsrA, is named for its dual tRNA and mRNA-like properties. Its role is to liberate the mRNA from a stalled ribosome. To accomplish this part of the tmRNA is used as a reading frame that ends in a translation stop signal. Lineage: Bacteria; Candidatus Staskawicziibacteriota. RNAcentral also lists the same sequence under 5 other names. The record is from RNAcentral.